UGUAUUGAACAAUAUGAAACGCAAAGCUAAUAACUAUAACGUGUUGUUUAGGUAAUCCAUACCGAACAGUGAAAAUAUAACUUACUGUGCUGAUGUUGUUCAACUAUACCGGCACGAUUUUUUUUUUUGAUAUUGUUGAAAUGUUUUGCAUCCUUUUGUCAAAUGGUUUUGACACAUGUGCCUUUUACCAUAUAUAACUUAUUUCCAACAGUUUGGUAAACAGUAACCCACCUUGGUAUUUGUGAGUGAUUUUUAUUAGGCACGCCUAAAAAAUUAUCAGUAGCUGCAAGCGAAUGAAAGAACUUUUAAUAUUUAUAUUGAAAGAAUAAUGCAUAUGUUUUUACAGAAUUAUUGUUACAUAUUCAAAAAAAAAAACUCUAAUUGUUUUCUUUUAAGCAAAAAUUUUUAAAAAUAUAAAUUAAAAAAAUAUUUUUUAAUUGUUGUACGAAAAAGAUACAAACUCUGAGUUGAUGGUUUUCUAGCGUGCAUUUUUUGCACAGAUUGGAAACCGAUAAAGUUUGAAAAAAAAAAAUAAAAAUAAACAGAAAUCUACUGAGCGUUCGCGAGUUUGUGCUGUUUCCACGGUCUAGAGGUAUUGCCAAGCGGGAUUGUUGCCUACUUCCAAUGCCGCACUGCUUGAAGGCCAUACGGAACCGAAACCAAGUCUGAGACCAUGAGCGGAAGCUGAAUGGAAAGCGUCGUCAUAUCAUCGUCCCACUGCUCUCAGUUUCUGGAAAAUGAGACCAAUUUCGAAUCGGAGGAUCAUCAAAACAGCUAUUUGUCUUCCGCUGAUCUCCUAUUCACAGAAAAAUAUCAAGGAAGAUGUCAACCCUUCUAGAAGUUAUCUGGUGGAAGCGGAAGUGGAUGCUACGAGUGCUCAUGCAUGAAAUCAACUCGGAUGCGUUAGAUAAUCCGGAUGGCUGGGUUUUGGACCAAACAACUAAAGCUUGUGCGCAGCGUAUUUCGGAAAAAUGCUGUGACUAUGGAUCGCUCCUGUUACCUGAAUAAUUCCUGAUUUAUUAUUAAGGGCCCAUUCACAAAUUUCAUAACG
Aedes aegypti (yellow fever mosquito) is the source of this 1051-nucleotide long non-coding RNA. RefSeq lists it as uncharacterized. Lineage: Eukaryota; Metazoa; Arthropoda; Insecta; Diptera; Culicidae. The record is from RefSeq and is a predicted model, not a curated record. The transcript is spliced from 3 exons.